UACGGGGGGGGCAAGCGUUGUUCGGAAUUACUGGGCGUAAAGGGCUCGUAGGCGGCCAACUAAGUCAGACGUGAAAUCCCUCGGCUUAACCGGGGAACUGCGUCUGAUACUGGAUGGCUCGAGUUUGGGAGAGGGAUGCGGAAUUCCAGGUGUAGCGGUGAAAUGCGUAGAUAUCAGCAGGAACACCCGUGGCGAAGGCGGCUUCCUGGGCCGCCCCUGACGCUGAGGCGCGAAAGCGUGGGGAGCGAACGGG
Molecule: ribosomal RNA, 253 nt
Filed under: uncultured bacterium
Lineage: Bacteria
Description: partial 16S ribosomal RNA
Rfam family: Bacterial small subunit ribosomal RNA
Source: RNAcentral